UACAGAGGGUGCAAGCGUUAUUCGGAAUUAUUGGGCGUAAAGGGCGCGUAGGCGGCCUGGCAAGUGGAAGGUGAAAUCCCUCGGCUUAACCGAGGAACUGCCCUCCAAACUGCUUGGCUUGAGUCCGGGAGAGGUGAGUGGAAUUCCCAGUGUAGCGGUGAAAUGCGUAGAUAUUGGGAGGAACACCAGUGGCGAAGGCGGCUCACUGGACCGGAACUGACGCUGAGGCGCGAAAGCGUGGGGAGCAAACAGG
This 253-nucleotide ribosomal RNA is filed under the name uncultured bacterium. RNAcentral describes it as "partial 16S ribosomal RNA". It matches the Rfam family "Bacterial small subunit ribosomal RNA", at positions 524 to 776 of the family's 1533-position model. The record is from RNAcentral.